RNAcentral lists this ribosomal RNA (1949 nucleotides) under Escherichia coli. RNAcentral describes it as "partial 23S ribosomal RNA". It matches the Rfam family "Bacterial large subunit ribosomal RNA", at positions 606 to 2538 of the family's 2925-position model. The record is from RNAcentral. Lineage: Bacteria; Pseudomonadati; Pseudomonadota; Gammaproteobacteria; Enterobacterales; Enterobacteriaceae.
UUUUGUAUAAUGGGUCAGCGACUUAUAUUCUGUAGCAAGGUUAACCGAAUAGGGGAGCCGAAGGGAAACCGAGUCUUAACUGGGCGUUAAGUUGCAGGGUAUAGACCCGAAACCCGGUGAUCUAGCCAUGGGCAGGUUGAAGGUUGGGUAACACUAACUGGAGGACCGAACCGACUAAUGUUGAAAAAUUAGCGGAUGACUUGUGGCUGGGGGUGAAAGGCCAAUCAAACCGGGAGAUAGCUGGUUCUCCCCGAAAGCUAUUUAGGUAGCGCCUCGUGAAUUCAUCUCCGGGGGUAGAGCACUGUUUCGGCAAGGGGGUCAUCCCGACUUACCAACCCGAUGCAAACUGCGAAUACCGGAGAAUGUUAUCACGGGAGACACACGGCGGGUGCUAACGUCCGUCGUGAAGAGGGAAACAACCCAGACCGCCAGCUAAGGUCCCAAAGUCAUGGUUAAGUGGGAAACGAUGUGGGAAGGCCCAGACAGCCAGGAUGUUGGCUUAGAAGCAGCCAUCAUUUAAAGAAAGCGUAAUAGCUCACUGGUCGAGUCGGCCUGCGCGGAAGAUGUAACGGGGCUAAACCAUGCACCGAAGCUGCGGCAGCGACGCUUAUGCGUUGUUGGGUAGGGGAGCGUUCUGUAAGCCUGUGAAGGUGUACUGUGAGGUAUGCUGGAGGUAUCAGAAGUGCGAAUGCUGACAUAAGUAACGAUAAAGCGGGUGAAAAGCCCGCUCGCCGGAAGACCAAGGGUUCCUGUCCAACGUUAAUCGGGGCAGGGUGAGUCGACCCCUAAGGCGAGGCCGAAAGGCGUAGUCGAUGGGAAACAGGUUAAUAUUCCUGUACUUGGUGUUACUGCGAAGGGGGGACGGAGAAGGCUAUGUUGGCCGGGCGACGGUUGUCCCGGUUUAAGCGUGUAGGCUGGUUUUCCAGGCAAAUCCGGAAAAUCAAGGCUGAGGCGUGAUGACGAGGCACUACGGUGCUGAAGCAACAAAUGCCCUGCUUCCAGGAAAAGCCUCUAAGCAUCAGGUAACAUCAAAUCGUACCCCAAACCGACACAGGUGGUCAGGUAGAGAAUACCAAGGCGCUUGAGAGAACUCGGGUGAAGGAACUAGGCAAAAUGGUGCCGUAACUUCGGGAGAAGGCACGCUGAUAUGUAGGUGAAGCGACUUGCUCGUGGAGCUGAAAUCAGUCGAAGAUACCAGCUGGCUGCAACUGUUUAUUAAAAACACAGCACUGUGCAAACACGAAAGUGGACGUAUACGGUGUGACGCCUGCCCGGUGCCGGAAGGUUAAUUGAUGGGGUUAGCGGUAACGCGAAGCUCUUGAUCGAAGCCCCGGUAAACGGCGGCCGUAACUAUAACGGUCCUAAGGUAGCGAAAUUCCUUGUCGGGUAAGUUCCGACCUGCACGAAUGGCGUAAUGAUGGCCAGGCUGUCUCCACCCGAGACUCAGUGAAAUUGAACUCGCUGUGAAGAUGCAGUGUACCCGCGGCAAGACGGAAAGACCCCGUGAACCUUUACUAUAGCUUGACACUGAACAUUGAGCCUUGAUGUGUAGGAUAGGUGGGAGGCUUUGAAGUGUGGACGCCAGUCUGCAUGGAGCCGACCUUGAAAUACCACCCUUUAAUGUUUGAUGUUCUAACGUUGGCCCCUGAUCGGGGUUGCGGACAGUGUCUGGUGGGUAGUUUGACUGGGGCGGUCUCCUCCUAAAGAGUAACGGAGGAGCACGAAGGUUGGCUAAUCCUGGUCGGACAUCAGGAGGUUAGUGCAAUGGCAUAAGCCAGCUUGACUGCGAGCGUGACGGCGCGAGCAGGUGCGAAAGCAGGUCAUAGUGAUCCGGUGGUUCUGAAUGGAAGGGCCAUCGCUCAACGGAUAAAAGGUACUCCGGGGAUAACAGGCUGAUACCGCCCAAGAGUUCAUAUCGACGGCGGUGUUUGGCACCUCGAUGUCGGCUC